AAACCAGCACCUCAAGUGGUCAGGAUGAUUAUUGGGCCUAAAGCAUCCGUAGCCGGCUCUGUAAGUUUUCGGUUAAAUCUGUACGCUUAACGUACAGGCUGCUGGGAAUACUGCAGAGCUAGGGAGUGGGAGAGGUAGACGGUACUCGGGAGGAAGUGGUAAAAUGCUUUGAUCCCUCGAUGACCACCUGUGGCGAAGGCGGUCUACCAGAACACGUCCGACGGUGAGGGAUGAAAGCUGGGGGAGCAAACCGGAUUAGAAACCCGAGUAGUCC
Molecule: ribosomal RNA, 274 nt
Filed under: uncultured bacterium
Lineage: Bacteria
Description: partial 16S ribosomal RNA
Rfam family: Archaeal small subunit ribosomal RNA
Source: RNAcentral